This 253-nucleotide ribosomal RNA is filed under the name uncultured bacterium. RNAcentral describes it as "partial 16S ribosomal RNA". It matches the Rfam family "Bacterial small subunit ribosomal RNA", at positions 524 to 776 of the family's 1533-position model. The record is from RNAcentral.
UACGAAGGGGGCUAGCGUUGCUCGGAAUCACUGGGCGUAAAGCGCACGUAGGCGGACUCUUAAGUCGGUGGUGAAAUCCUGGAGCUCAACUCCAGAACUGCCUUCGAUACUGAGAGUCUCGAGUCCGAGAGAGGUGAGCGGAACUGCGAGUGUAGAGGUGAAAUUCGUAGAUAUUCGCAAGAACACCAGUGGCGAAGGCGGCUCACUGGCUCGGUACUGACGCUGAGGUGCGAAAGCGUGGGGAGCAAACCGG